Molecule: long non-coding RNA, 520 nt
Organism: Nicotiana attenuata
Lineage: Eukaryota; Viridiplantae; Streptophyta; Magnoliopsida; Solanales; Solanaceae
Exons: 2
Source: RefSeq, a predicted model, not a curated record
AAUAGCUUGAAAUGAGGUAGGCUUAUAAAUAUGGUACCUGCCUAUGGAGAAAAUCAUCAUUUACACAUCUCACUUCUUCCACCAAGUACAGAGUAAGAGAUGGCCGGAAAAUACUCUUUGAUAAAGUUUGCAUUCUUAUUCACUGCCAUUCUAAUGACGGCAAUUACUGUUAAUCUCUCCUCUUUUCAAAAGAUGCAAGCAAUGGCUAUGUUAGAUUUACCCCUCAAUAUGUUAUCGGUGAAACAAAAAUUACUAUCAUCAAUCGAUGGUAUGAAGACAUGUGGGAGAGUUUGUUCUAGCGAUAAGGAUUGUUCAGACGCUUGGGUUUGUUUUUAUUGCAAAUACCACAAAGAAACUGUUCUUGCUCCUGCCUGGAGUGGUUGUGACUGAUGAUAAAAAAAGAUCUUCCUCACAAAUUCUACAAAGUUCUCGAGUGAAAUAAACUUUGGUUGAUGCAGAAAUUUGGUAAUUAUAAACUGUGUGUCUAUGUGAAAUAAACAUUCCCAUAUCGUUUUCUUUC